RNAcentral lists this ribosomal RNA (690 nucleotides) under uncultured deep-sea bacterium. RNAcentral describes it as "bacterial SSU rRNA". It matches the Rfam family "Bacterial small subunit ribosomal RNA", at positions 8 to 689 of the family's 1533-position model. The record is from RNAcentral.
AGAGUUUGAUCAUGGCUCAGAUUGAACGCUGGCGGCAGGCCUAACACAUGCAAGUCGAACGGUAGCACAGAGAGCUUGCUCUCGGGUGACGAGUGGCGGACGGGUGAGUAAUGUCUGGGAAACUGCCUGAUGGAGGGGGAUAACUACUGGAAACGGUAGCUAAUACCGCAUAACGUCUUCGGACCAAAGUGGGGGACCUUCGGGCCUCACACCAUCGGAUGUGCCCAGAUGGGAUUAGCUAGUAGGUGGGGUAAUGGCUCACCUAGGCGACGAUCCCUAGCUGGUCUGAGAGGAUGACCAGCCACACUGGAACUGAGACACGGUCCAGACUCCUACGGGAGGCAGCAGUGGGGAAUAUUGCACAAUGGGCGCAAGCCUGAUGCAGCCAUGCCGCGUGUAUGAAGAAGGCCUUCGGGUUGUAAAGUACUUUCAGCGGGGAGGAAGGCGAUAAGGUUAAUAACCUUGUCGAUUGACGUUACCCGCAGAAGAAGCACCGGCUAACUCCGUGCCAGCAGCCGCGGUAAUACGGAGGGUGCAAGCGUUAAUCGGAAUUACUGGGCGUAAAGCGCACGCAGGCGGUCUGUCAAGUCAGAUGUGAAAUCCCCGGGCUUAACCUGGGAACUGCAUUUGAAACUGGCAGGCUAGAGUCUUGUAGAGGGGGGUAGAAUUCCAGGUGCAGCGGUGAAAUGC